RNAcentral lists this ribosomal RNA (490 nucleotides) under uncultured bacterium. RNAcentral's name for it is "partial 16S ribosomal RNA". It matches the Rfam family "Bacterial small subunit ribosomal RNA", at positions 30 to 507 of the family's 1533-position model. The record is from RNAcentral.
AUUGAACGCUGGCGGCAGGCCUAACACAUGCAAGUCGAACGGUAACAGGAAGAAGCUUGCUUCUUUGCUGACGAGUGGCGGACGGGUGAGUAAUGUCUGGGAAACUGCCUGAUGGAGGGGGAUAACUACUGGAAACGGUAGCUAAUACCGCAUAACGUCGCAAGACCAAAGAGGGGGACCUUCGGGCCUCUUGCCAUCGGAUGUGCCCAGAUGGGAUUAGCUAGUAGGUGGGAUAACGGCUCACCUAGGCGACGAUCCCUAGCUGGUCUGAGAGGAUGACCAGCCACACUGGAACUGAGACACGGUCCAGACUCCUACGGGAGGCAGCAGUGGGGAAUAUUGCACAAUGGGCGCAAGCCUGAUGCAGCCAUGCCGCGUGUAUGAAGAAGGCCUUCGGGUUGUAAAGUACUUUCAGCGGGGAGGAAGGGAGUAAAGUUAAUACCUUGGCUCAUUGACGUUACCCGCAGAAGAAGCACCGGCUAACUCCGUG